This is a long non-coding RNA of Nerophis ophidion (straightnose pipefish), 310 nucleotides long. RefSeq lists it as uncharacterized. The transcript has 3 exons. The record is from RefSeq and is a predicted model, not a curated record. Lineage: Eukaryota; Metazoa; Chordata; Actinopteri; Syngnathiformes; Syngnathidae.
AUUUCUCAUGCAGUGCGCCACUUUUGCCCCAGUGGUCGCUGUGGGGAAAUGAAUGGCGGUCUUGUUCAUUAAGUCACCUGCGGAAGGAAGGAAUCAUCUUCAGCUGCCAAGAAGAUUCGUCGCCAAACAUCCACGUUUGGGGCUUACUUGGAGGACGCUGAGAACUUAUCCAAACACUGGAUGUCAGAAGCUGCGAUGAGGUGGCGGCUUGUCCAGGGUGUACCCCGCCUUCGGCCCGAUUGUAGCUGAGAUAGGCACCAGCGACCCCAAAGGGAAUCAGCGGUAGAAAAUGGAUGGAUGUCAGAAGGCC